This is a non-coding RNA of Styela clava, 4091 nucleotides long. The record is from RefSeq and is a predicted model, not a curated record. NCBI's taxonomy places the organism in Eukaryota, Metazoa, Chordata, Ascidiacea, Stolidobranchia, Styelidae.
UAAUGCCAUAUACUUUUGAUACGAGGAAAUAUUAUAUAUCACAAAAGAUUUAGUCGAGAAAAUCUGCUUAUCAGCGGACCCUCGACUAAGAAUAAUAAAUGGUAACACCUUUUCGUUUGCCUUUCUCUCUUUGUUGAGCCAAGCCUAGUUUUCAACAACAGCGGACAAAGAGCUCAAUCAUAGCGUCAGAGACCUAGCGAAGCUAAGAUGUAUUGCAAACAACUGCAGUAGAGUUAAUAGGAAAUGGGAUUUUUAUAAUUUUUUCCUAUUCAUCAUACAUGGAUACCACAUCAGUUAAGUUGGAACCUACAAACAGCUGUUGUGGGGAGGCAACGUUCUGCCAGGUGAUCAAAAGCCAUCAUGAUGAGGUCUUCAUCAUCUCAUCAUGGCUGGUCCCCACAACAGCUGUUAGCCACACUUAGAGACUCUCAAGCCAGGGAAAGGGAAUCAUGGAGACAUCAAUUACUCUCCGAAUCUGCCAACAAGCUAAUAGAAGUUGGACCAACAGAACGCGAUUUCACUGUUACAUGGAUGUCACAAUUGAAUUCUCGAUUCAAUUUCUAUCCUGAAACCUUUUUCCUGGCUGUCCAUACUUUGGAUCGGUUCCUCACUGCGGUGAAGAGUCGACCCAAAUAUCUAAAAUGCAUUGCUGUCACUUGUUUUUAUGUAGCAAGCAAAUUGGUUGAGGAAGAAGAGUUCAUACCAGGGACUGGAGAACUUGUUGAAGCCAGUGAAAGUGGUUGUCGAGCAAAAGACGUUCUCAGAAUGGAACGAAUAAUACUUACGAAACUUGAGUGGGACUUACACACUCCAACUCCUCUUACAUACUUGGAAAUCUUCCAUGCUCUGGCUUUCUCCAAUCAGUCAAAGAAACCUUUAACAGUCCAUCAAAUGAAGGAUUGUUCCAAGUCUGAGAAAUCUUCAUUUCUUGCGCGACAUUUGAACCAGUUGACAAGGGAAUUGCAACAUGUCAUAUGCAAUUAUUCUUUGGCCAUAUUUCCAAGCGCUUCCAUCGCUUUGGCUCUCGUCUCACUGGAGAUAGAGAAUUUAACUGCGGAUCCUAGCCGCUGGCUCAUAAUUACAAGCCAGAUUCAAGCUUUUGCUAAGGUCAAAACGAAUGAUUUGAUGAGUUGUCGCUCUGUGAUCUUCAACCUCUUGCCAAAAAAGAUCUGCAGUUCUACGGCCCGCAAUCCGAUAUAUUACAUGGUGUCAUAUACCGGCAAUCCGGACCAAAAAUUGUAUGAUAUACCUGCAGCUGAGCAUACGAUAAAUAAAGAUAUCAUUCCUCUUGUUUAUCAAGGAGCAGCUACAAAACGAAAGGCAAAUGACAUCAAUCCUCAUGUUCCAGUAUCCGAUUUCGUCAAAAAAGUCCACACAAACUAUUCACAAAAUUGUAACAUUGGUGACAAAAUUGUGCAAGUGUGUGACCAUAAUAUCGAACAGUCACCAAAUAUUCAAAGUGUCGUUGAAGCUCACAAGCUGCCUUAUCUUGCCUCUGGGCCGACAACAAUUACAAUAUCUCAGGGAGAACGACAAGAAAUGCAUGGUGAUAACACUGUGACUAACUAUGUCCAUGCAAUGCCUCACAAUUCCAUUAACAAUAAUUCUUGUGUGCUCAAGUCACAGAAAUCCCAAAUUGAUUAUGAGCCUUUUGUUGGAAAUCUGUUGAAUGACAGCGAAAUUUCUCAAGACAGUGACUGGAACAGCUCCACUCAAGAUGAAAAUGAUGAAAUGGAUUCAGAUGGAUAUGACAGUGACAAGACACUGACAGCGUCUGAAGGCGAAGAUGAGGAAUAUACAGAAAGAAAAAAAAACAUGAAGCAAUGAGAAUGAGACCGCUAACUUAUGCCGAAAUUGUCAAGUGUGGUAUUCUUGAAACUGUUGCGCUGUCUGUAUGAACAAGACCUAACUUGUUACUUCAUCAGCAUGAAUCUGAAACACAAUUAAACUGUGGAGACUAUUCUCCAAUCAACGAACAGGACUCUUUGUUAUAUAUGAAGUUCUCAACACGAUUCUGAGGAGCACAAAAUUUUUUUAUUGUCUUUAUUAGUCUCUUUGAUGCUAUUUUUAUAUCUUAGAAUGAUUUUCUGGCUUUCAUUUUUCAAGCUUGUAUAUUAUCGAUAAAUAUUAUCAAAUAUAUAUUGAAACCUUAUUUUUGUAUCACAACAUUACCAUAUAACCGCUUUAUUUUCCGUUUGUUUUCAUCUUAUACUGAUGAAAACCUCUAAUUAUUAUUACAUGGAAUAGAUACUUCAUCAUUAAAGAAAUAGUAUAUUUUUUGUCGAUGGUUUGUUCUGAAAUUCAUAACAAGUAUUUUUGCAGAAAUAUCACUAUUGCAUUUAGUCUUUCUCAGUAUGUCUUGCUUGGUGGAAUACUCAUAUUUUUGAAGUCUCAACAUUAUUGCAGGGUUUUUCUUCGAAAACAACCCCCUUUUCAAUGGUUGACCUCUCCAAUCGAGUAUCAGAAGUCCACAAUUCUUUUGCAGCUCUUGUUUGAUAUUUCUACUCUAAUGUGAUGUAUGCAAAUCACAUCAAUUUUAAUUUUCCCGUUGUCUCAUUCUCAUAUCAAAAAAUAGGGAAAUGUUGAAUCGAAUAGACUAUUGCCACAUUCCUAUUCUUUACUGCAUCAAUAUAUCAUGGCAAUAUAUUAAAAGAUAAGAAAAAAUUGAUGAUGAAAUACUGUAUUGGGCCACUAUUCUGGAGACAAUACAUCUCUUACAUUAUAGAACAAAACUUUUUUGUUUUGGUUGUCUUGGUUACAAAACUACAUUGGGGCUUUCAUAAUUAAAUGUUUAAAAUUGAAUGAUGAUUUGUAUUUUUAUUGUGUAAUUCUUCAUUAAAGAAUUUAGCUGUUCAUAAAAAGCUGGUUUCACCUUUGACAGUUUUGAAAUUAAUUUUUUUGAUUCAAGGAUCAAUAGAUAUUUAUUGUCACAUAGUCAAAUUCUCAUUGUUCCUUGUUUGGUUGUGUAUUUCAACUUUCUGGGUACAUUCAUUGUAUUGCACGAUUAAUAACAAGUCACUAUGUUUGGUAAUCUUGGUCUAAGUGUCAUAUAUAUAAAAUAUAUACUUCGUUGGUGUUUUUGUGACAUCGGUUUUUCAAACCGUCAAGUUUCACAUUAUUUUUCACAUGUCCAGCUUUUGUUUUCUUAUUUGAAAGAUUGAUCUGUUUUAGUUGAGUUUUCAAUAGCUUUGGUAUUUUGUGGUCUUUUCAUUGUGUUUUCAUGUAUGUUCUUUUUUUCUAUCUCACUGCACUCUGCAUGAUGUGAAUUUUAGCAGUUCACCACUAUUUUCCCAAUUAUUUAUAUAGACUUGUAAAAGUACAGUGAGGUAUGGUAAAUCUUAUUGCCGUUAUAUGAAGCUGAAUCUUUAUUGUUUAACAGAUGUGUAAACACAAAGAUUUGAAAUUGGGAAUCAAAUUUUCACCGAAUUUAAUAAUGUGCACAUUAAAUAGACACAAAAUGAGCUGGCCGCUGUUAGCUUAUUCUACAGUAGUUCUUAUAAUUAUUGGUUCCAACAUGUCUUGUCAAGAAAUUUUCAGCUAUUUUUUAUGCAACCAUAUUAUACAUUUGGGGGUUGUAUGUAUCUUGCAAACAGUAUUAAAAUACUCUGAAAAGGAGAUGUGUAUAUAUUCAACUGUCCAUAUAUUAACUAAAUAUAUAUAUAUAUAUUGUGUAUAUGUGUAAUAUAUGAUAUUAUUAAAUAUAAUCAUUUAGAAAUGGGUGCAUAAACCAGUAUGAAAUUGCCCUAUUUUUCUAAAAGCAUAGUGUUUACAAUUAAACAGCUGGCUUAUAAUUGUAAAAAGUGUUUGGGUCCGGAUGUCCAUGGUUCAAUAGUGGAAACCAAUUCGAUUGUUACUCUGAUACCCUAUUGUUGCUUUCAAGAUUUUAGUUUAAGUUUCCCGACCAAUAUUUUUCAAGUCUAUUAUUCUUUUUCGAAAUAGAGCCAUUGUGUUAUUGGGGCGUACAAUUCUGUCAACUAGAUGUAUUACACAUUCUUAUGAACGUUUUUGAUUUCUUUUCAAUAUUUUAUAAUUUGCUAGUUGUCUUUUGGUAUUCACUUAAUUUCGUUGAAAAAUAUAUGUCUUCACUUUCA